GAUGCAGGUCACCUUAUCGCUGUUUCAGUAAUGAAAGAGAGGAAAGUCCGGACACCGUAGUGCAGUAUAGCGGGUAACACCCGUCCGUCGAAAGGCGAGGACAAGUGCAACAGAAAGAAUGUACAGGUAAUGCUGUAGUGAAAUCAGGUAAACUCUAUGCGGUGCAACGCCAUGUAAACCAGCUUUUGAGGGUUGCACGCCCAAUGCUGGAGGGUAGGCGGUUCGAUCUUGUUAGUAAUGACAAGGCUAGAUAAAUGAUAAGGGCUUCUACAUAGAAGACAGAAUCCGGCUUAUGACCUGCUUCUUUU
Molecule: RNase P RNA, 308 nt
Filed under: Aquimarina brevivitae
Lineage: Bacteria; Pseudomonadati; Bacteroidota; Flavobacteriia; Flavobacteriales; Flavobacteriaceae
Description: Bacterial RNase P class A
Rfam family: Bacterial RNase P class A
About the family: Ribonuclease P (RNase P) is a ubiquitous endoribonuclease, found in archaea, bacteria and eukarya as well as chloroplasts and mitochondria. Its best characterised activity is the generation of mature 5'-ends of tRNAs by cleaving the 5'-leader elements of precursor-tRNAs.
Source: Rfam by way of RNAcentral